Molecule: long non-coding RNA, 501 nt
Organism: Oncorhynchus kisutch (coho salmon)
Lineage: Eukaryota; Metazoa; Chordata; Actinopteri; Salmoniformes; Salmonidae
Exons: 2
Source: RefSeq, a predicted model, not a curated record
AAGCUGAGACUGACACCAGAUACAGUUAGGUCCUAAAGCUGAGACUACACACUGACACCAGAUACAGUUAGGUCCUAAAGCUGAGACUACACACUGACACCAGAUACAGUUAGGUCCUAAAGCUGAGACUGACACCAGAUACAGUUAGGUCCUAAAGCUGAGACUGACACCAGAUACAGUUAGGUCCUAAAGCUGAGACUGACACCAGAUACAGUUAGGUCCUAAAGCUGAGACUGACACCUGAUACAGUUAGGUCCUAAAGCUGAGACUACACACUGACACCAGAUACAGUUAGGUCCUAAAGCUGAGACUACACACUGACACCAGAUACAGUUAGGUCCUAAAGCUGAGACUGACACCAGAUACAGUUAGGUCCUAAAGCUGAGACUGACACCUGAUACAGUUAGGUCCUAAAGCUGAGACUACACACUGACACCAGAUACAGUUAGGUCCUAAAGCUGAGACUGACACCAGAUACAGUUAGGUCCUAAAGCUGAGACU